This 450-nucleotide ribosomal RNA is filed under the name Pseudoglutamicibacter cumminsii. Its description in RNAcentral is "bacterial SSU rRNA". It matches the Rfam family "Bacterial small subunit ribosomal RNA", at positions 1037 to 1482 of the family's 1533-position model. The record is from RNAcentral. Lineage: Bacteria; Bacillati; Actinomycetota; Actinomycetes; Micrococcales; Micrococcaceae.
GGUGGUGCAGGGUUGUCGUCAGCUCGUGUCUUGAGAUGUUGGGUUAAGUCCCGCAACGAGCGCAACCCUCGUUCCAUGUUGCCAGCACUUAGUGGUGGGGACUCAUGGGAGACUGCCGGGGUCAUCUCGGAGUAAGGUGGGGACGACGUCAAAUCAUCAUGCCCCUUAUGUCUUGGGCUUCACGCAUGCUACAAUGGCCGGUACAAUGGGUUGCGAUACUGUGAGGUGGAGCUAAUCCCAAAAAGCCGGUCUCAGUUCGGAUUGGGGUCUGCAACUCGACCCCAUGAAGUCGGAGUCGCUAGUAAUCGCAGAUCAGCCAACGCUGCGGUGAAUACGUUUCCCGGGCCUUGUACACACCGCCCGUCAAGUCACGAAAGUUGGUAACACCCGAAGCCGGUGGCUUAACCCUUGUGGGGGGAGCCGUCGAAGGUGGGACUGGCGAUUGGGACU